GACAGAGGGUGCAAACGUUGUUCGGAAUUACUGGGCGUAAAGCGCGUGUAGGCGGCCAUCUAAGUCGGGCGUGAAAUCCCACGGCUCAACCGUGGAAGUGCACUCGAAACUGGAUGGCUAGAGUCCUGGAGAGGAAGGUGGAAUGCUUGGUGUAGGUGAAAUUCGUAGAUAUCAAGCGGAACACCGGUGGCAAAGGCGGCCUUCUGGACAGUGACUGACGCUGAGACGCGAAAGCGUGGGGAGCAAACAGG
Molecule: ribosomal RNA, 251 nt
Filed under: uncultured bacterium
Lineage: Bacteria
Description: partial 16S ribosomal RNA
Rfam family: Bacterial small subunit ribosomal RNA
Source: RNAcentral